GACGAACGCUGGCGGCGUGCCUAACACAUGCAAGUCGAACGAGUCCAGGCUUUCGGGCCUGAGGCGAGUGGCGGACGGGUGAGUAACACGUGAGCAAUCUGUCCCUGUGUGGGGGACAACCCGGGGAAACUCGGGCUAAUACCGCAUGGGCAGGCACUUCACAGGAAGAGCCUGGGAAAGAGGCCCUCUUUACAAUGGUCUCAUGCAGGGAGGAGCUCGCGGGCAUCAGCUAGUUGGUAGUGGUAAUGGCCUACCAAGGCGACGACGGCUACGGGGUCUGAGAGGACGACCCCGCACAUUGGAACUGAGACACGGUCCAGACUCCUACGGGAGGCAGCAGUGGGAAUUUUGGGCAAUGGCCGCAAGGCUGACCCAGCGACGCCGCGUGCGGGAUGACGCCUUUC
RNAcentral lists this ribosomal RNA (404 nucleotides) under uncultured bacterium. RNAcentral's name for it is "bacterial SSU rRNA". It matches the Rfam family "Bacterial small subunit ribosomal RNA", at positions 28 to 419 of the family's 1533-position model. The record is from RNAcentral.